This 68-nucleotide transfer RNA is filed under the name Marmota monax (woodchuck). Its description in RNAcentral is "tRNA.Ala". The record is from RNAcentral. Lineage: Eukaryota; Metazoa; Chordata; Mammalia; Rodentia; Sciuridae.
GGGUUAUGGCUCAGUGGUAGAGUACUUGCCUAGCAUGCAUGAGGCACUGAGUUUGAUCCUUAACACCA